UCAAGUGAAGUAAAUGUGUAGUGUUUUAAUUGUGGAGAGAAUAGAAACUAAGCUCAUUAAAGUCUUAUGAGAACCAAACCCAAAACAAGUAAAGUAUAAAUGGGUUGUAGUAUUUGUGAAUUAGAGUUAAAAAAAUCAUUUGUAAACAUUUAGAGAAAAGAGGAUCCAGAUAGAAAGAAGAGGAAAGUUCAGGGAAUCAAAGAGGAGAGGGAGACUCAAGCUUGAGGGAGACUAGUUUUGAAGAGUUAAGAGGAUCAAGAUAUCUACAUUAUUUUAUCAUGUCAAUUUCAACAUCAACAUAAGAAGAUCGUCAUCAAAUUUUAGAAUACGAGCACGACUUCUCUUUAUGAAUGAAAAAAUUCCAACCACCACAUAAGCGAAGGAGUGAACAUUUAAAUGAGAAACAAGGCAGCAAUAGUUUAAGAGGAGUGUUAUUUGAACAACCAUUUGGUUGACAACUUUUAGGACAACCAUAAUUUAUAAAGAAAAAGUUGGUAUUUGCACGAAAAUCAAAGCAAUAAAGAGAUAAAGUAAAAAGUAAUGUGAGUAUGAGAGAGAAAGUUGUUGCAAAAGUUGUCACAAAAUGGAUGUUCAAAUAUCAUUUCUCAUAGUUUAAAUGAAAAGAUAUAUAUGCCAAUUGGGAAUAUUAUUUUACACAUCCAGAACAUUCUGGAUGUCCAUCUUGCUUCAUGCUUCCACGUGAAAGGCAUCCAACUGUAAUGAGUUGUUGAUAGUUGUAAGAAGUGACAUGCUUAUGUUAUUCUUUUGUCCUUUUGAUGAUGUUACAUUUAAUUCACAUGUGUUUAAAGUCUUUAUGAGAUA
Molecule: long non-coding RNA, 822 nt
Organism: Medicago truncatula (barrel medic)
Lineage: Eukaryota; Viridiplantae; Streptophyta; Magnoliopsida; Fabales; Fabaceae
Exons: 2
Source: RefSeq, a predicted model, not a curated record